GCAAGCCUGAAGCCAAUCCAGAGCACAGGGCCAGACAUGCUGUAGAGCCCACUGCUCACUAGUGUGCCAGCAGAACUAUUUGGAAAAGUUGUCUACAGUCGAUCUUCAGGCUGUCCACAGGGCAGACAUAUGGGCAGAAGUAUCUUCCCACCUACUUUCCAAUACUGCUAAGGCUUUAACAAUGGGGGAACAGUACUAGGAGUGAGAUGGAGAGGAAGAAUUUAGUAAAGAACUGAAGAGCAAUGAAAUAUCAUAAAGUGAAUGUUAAGAUGGUGAUGUAUUGUAAACACCUCACAAGGAGGACACAGGGGACUUGAACAACGAACAGCCGUGUCCAACUCCCAGGCCCUCACAUUGCAAAGGAUUUUGAACCAUCUGAACAUCUGUGAGUACGUCUCUGUCUACCUAGAACUGGGUAGACGGCUGAGGAGGCUCCUAGAUCACACCAGUGAGACUUUCCUCACAUGAAUUCCUGAGGGGCCAGUCAGGGAUAAUGCUGACCCACUGCUCACAUACCUGGGGACAGCCAUGGUGACAGCAGUCAUGGACAAGAGCUUCCAACUGAGUUGAAAUCAAGGGAGAGGUGGAGGCUGGUCAGCAGCACUGGGGCUUUGGUCUUUGGUAGAGAAGGCUUCAGCCUGUGUAGGGAAUUCUUAAGACAAAUUCACUUAAAAGGCACCAUGAGUAGGAAGAUACCAAGCCGAGAUGGUGUGGUUAUUUAAGAAUAAACAUUUCUGUUAUGCAGAAAAACUGUGAAUUUUACC
This is a long non-coding RNA of Zonotrichia leucophrys gambelii, 764 nucleotides long. RefSeq lists it as uncharacterized. The record is from RefSeq and is a predicted model, not a curated record. The transcript has 3 exons. NCBI's taxonomy places the organism in Eukaryota, Metazoa, Chordata, Aves, Passeriformes, Passerellidae.